GACGUAGGGCGCAAGCGUUGUCCGGAUUUAUUGGGCGUAAAGAGCUCGUAGGCGGCCUGUCGCGUCGACCGUGAAAACCCGCAGCUCAACUGCGGGCUUGCGGUCGAUACGGGCAGGCUGGAGUUCGGUAGGGGAGACUGGAAUUCCUGGUGUAGCGGUGAAAUGCGCAGAUAUCAGGAGGAACACCGGUGGCGAAGGCGGGUCUCUGGGCCGAUACUGACGCUGAGGCGCGAAAGCGUGGGGAGCGAACAGG
This 253-nucleotide ribosomal RNA is filed under the name uncultured bacterium. Its description in RNAcentral is "partial 16S ribosomal RNA". It matches the Rfam family "Bacterial small subunit ribosomal RNA", at positions 524 to 776 of the family's 1533-position model. The record is from RNAcentral.